RNAcentral lists this ribosomal RNA (433 nucleotides) under uncultured bacterium. Its description in RNAcentral is "partial 16S ribosomal RNA". It matches the Rfam family "Bacterial small subunit ribosomal RNA", at positions 29 to 507 of the family's 1533-position model. The record is from RNAcentral.
AGCGAACGCUGGCGGCAGGCUUAACACAUGCAAGUCGAGCGGGCCCUUCGGGGUCAGCGGCAGACUGGUGAGUAACACGUGGGAACGUACCCUUUGGUUCGGAAGAACGCUGGGAAACUAGCGCUAAUACCGGAUACGCCCUUUUGGGGAAAGGCUUGCUGCCGAAGGAUCGGCCCGCGUCUGAUUAGCUAGUUGGUGGGGUAAUGGCCUACCAAGUCGACGAUCAGUAGCUGGUCUGAGAGGAUGAUCAGCCACACUGGGACUGAGACACGGCCCAGACUCCUACGGGAGGCAGCAGUGGGGAAUAUUGGACAAUGGGCGCAAGCCUGAUCCAGCCAUGCCGCGUGAGUGAUGAAGGCCUUAGGGUUGUAAAGCUCUUUUGUCCGGGACGAUAAUGACGGUACCGGAAGAAUAAGCCCCGGCUAACUUCGUG